Molecule: ribosomal RNA, 497 nt
Filed under: uncultured bacterium
Lineage: Bacteria
Description: partial 16S ribosomal RNA
Rfam family: Bacterial small subunit ribosomal RNA
Source: RNAcentral
GAUGAACGCUGGCGGCGUGCCUAAUACAUGCAAGUCGAGCGAACGGACGUGAAGCUUGCUUCUCUGAUGUUAGCGGCGGACGGGUGAGUAACACGUGGAUAACCUACCUAUAAGACUGGGAUAACUUCGGGAAACCGUAGCUAAUACCGGAUAAUAUUUUGAACCGCAUGGUUCAAAAGUGAAAGACGGUCUUGCUGUCACUUAUAGAUGGAUCCGCGCUGCAUUAGCUAGUUGGUAAGGUAACGGCUUACCAAGGCAACGAUGCAUAGCCGACCUGAGAGGGUGAUCGGCCACACUGGAACUGAGACACGGUCCAGACUCCUACGGGAGGCAGCAGUAGGGAAUCUUCCGCAAUGGGCGAAAGCCUGACGGAGCAACGCCGCGUGAGUGAUGAAGGUCUUCGGAUCGUAAAACUCUGUUAUUAGGGAAGAACAUAUGUGUAAGUAACUGUGCACAUCUUGACGGUACCUAAUCAGAAAGCCACGGCUAACUACGUG